Boleophthalmus pectinirostris (great blue-spotted mudskipper) is the source of this 1356-nucleotide long non-coding RNA. RefSeq lists it as uncharacterized. The record is from RefSeq and is a predicted model, not a curated record. The transcript is spliced from 2 exons. Lineage: Eukaryota; Metazoa; Chordata; Actinopteri; Gobiiformes; Gobiidae.
CAGGUCUAAACCAGGUCUAAACUAGAUCCAAACCAGGUCUAAACCAGGUCUAAACUAUGUCUUAAACAGAAUUUAACAGGACUAAAUCCUGCUGUGUGGACGUGUUUCUUCUUCUAUCAAUAAUAUUUUUAAUUUGUUUAAAUAAAGUCUGGGCUUUUUAUUUUCUUUUAUCAGACAAAACAUCUCAUGUGAAGAUUUCCUCGUCUUUGUUUCUCUACAGCAAAUCAAGUAAUCCAAAGUUUCAGAUUACAUUACUCACUUUUAGUAAUUUAAUGGAUUACGUUACAAACUACAUUUUGGUGCAUGUAAUCUGUAAUCUGUAGGGGAUUACAUUUUAAAAGUAAACUUCCCAACACUGUCCAGGUUUGUUUUUGAAGAGAUAAUAACAUUAUAACGUCAUUUAAAGCUCACAUGGGUCAGUUUUCUGUAAUAUCAGACUAAAAUGAAAAAUAACUUAAAUUAAAAAUAGUCAUAUGCACUUUUACUGCCUGUCUUCCACAGAAUUAGCAUUAUUUUAUUUUUUUUUUAUGUGUAUUUUAAUCUUUUUUUUUUUUUAUGGGUCACUUCCCACUGUCACCAGCAGAGGGCGCACACACACUAACCCUGACCACCGUGUCUCCUUUAAGCUCCGUACGCUUUGUUAGAUUUUAUACCUUUUACUAAAUUAAAACCAUUAAAUUAUUGCGCAACAAACUUCGCUGUCUCUUCGUCACUAAAGCAACACUACGGAAUAUUUUUCUGGAAAUUCCGAUUUAUUUUUGCGAAACGGGGAAGUCGUUGAUUCUUUCUAAACGUAAAAACCAAAUUCUGUACAUUUAAAGUUUAAGUUUAAAGUUACACAUUGUGUAACUUUUCAAGCGAUUUAUCUCCAUGGAGAUGGCAUCGCUUUGUCGGGAAUGUUUCAGAGUGUGGUUUUAAAUUGUUCAGUCGCCACGGAAACCAAAGCAGACCGAGUUACAGGUCAGAUCUGUGGAGCGGCGUGGGUCUUUUUGAGCAAAUUUUUGAAUAAAUGUAAAGUUGGAGAUGUUUAAUGUCACACUGCGGAACAUUCUAAGCAGAGAAAUGACGUCUCCAUGGAAACGAGCAGAAGAAAAGAAAAGUUACGCGAUGCACCUUUAACUUUAACAUGAUUUAAUUCUGCUUUUUUUUUCUGAAUGUUGCUUUAAAAUAAUAAUUCUGUGAUGUUGAUGUUUAAAAAUGGAGAAAUGUGUUUUGUAUUUUUUAGAAGAAAAGGACCAAGAUACUGGAAAAAACAUUCCUCUGAGAUAAAUGUGGAUUUUCUUUGUAUUUGUCGAAUGUUUCUGAACCUGUUUACAACAUGUCACUGCUCAAAUAAACUCAUUUGGUAUUUUUUCA